This 255-nucleotide ribosomal RNA is filed under the name uncultured bacterium. Its description in RNAcentral is "partial 16S ribosomal RNA". It matches the Rfam family "Bacterial small subunit ribosomal RNA", at positions 524 to 776 of the family's 1533-position model. The record is from RNAcentral.
UACGAAGGGGGGCUAGCGUUGCUCGGAAUUACUGGGCGUAAAGGGUGCGUAGGCGGUUGUUUAAGUUUGGUGUGAAAUCUCCCGGCUCAACUGGGGAGGGUGCGCCGAAUACUGAAUGACUAGAGUGCGGGAGAGGAGAGUGGAAUUCCAGGUGUAGCGGUGAAAUGCGUAGAUAUCUGGAGGAAUACCGGUGGCGAAGGCGGCAUCCUGGACCGACAUUGACGCUGAACGGCGAAAGCUAGGGGAGCAAACGGG